AGCUACAAUCCCGAGAGCUCCCACGUGUCAGGGGUGCGCAGACGGUAGGCGCGGGGUGCAGGACUCCAAUUAUCAAUUCAGCCGAGCCCAGCGCUGGUAAAGGGGGCGUUUAGCUCGCCCGUUUCCUCCCUCCUCAAUCCCCACACAGUCAGUUUCUCGGUCCAAGUUUUACUGGUGCGGCCCAGCCCUACCGAGAGUACCCGAAUACACGUCUGCAGAGGACGCGGGCAUUGGGCCGGGUGAGCUACGAUGUUCUAACGAUCAGCAAAUGCCAAUUAAUCUGUUAAUUGUCUAUUAACAAUUAUUACUCGGUAAAUGUCAACCCAGACCUACACCCAAAGUGGGCUUGAGGGAGGGUGGACGAAGUGUAAACAUUUUUUCUUUUUUUUUUUUAAAUGAGAGAUGCCGCCCGCCUCUCCGGGCCUGCGAGUGGGCUGGCGGAUACCGGAGUCCCUGAGGUCACCGGCGGAGAUGAUAAUUUGAUGUGAUAGAAGAUGUGCGAAAAUGAAAUCAUCAUUUAGUUUGGAAACAACCUCAGUGUCCAUCAAUAAGAAAAAGAACUAUGGAAAGCCAUCCUAUAAAACCCUCUGCAAUUUAGAAAAGUUCUCCAAGACAAUUUGUUACAUGAAAAAAGCACACUGUGGCUGGGCACAGUGGCUCACGCCUGAAAUCCCAGCACUUAGCGAGGCUGAAGCGGGCAGAUCGCUUGAGGUCAGGAGUUUGAGACCAACCUGGCCAACAUGGUGAAACCCUGUCUCUACUAAAAUUACAAAAAUCAGCUGGGCCUAGUGGUGGGCACUUGUAGUCCCAGCUACUUGGGAGGCUGAGGCAAGGAGAAUCACUUGAAGCCAGGAGGCAGAAGUUGCAGUGAGCCUAGAUUGUGCCACAGCACUCCAGCCUGGGCGACAGAGCGAGAGUCCGUCUCAAAAAACAAACAAACAAACAAAAAACACUGAAGCCAAAAAACCCAAAAUGAUUCCAUUUCUGUAGAAAAUACCGUGCAAGGCAAAAUGACUAUAUGUUUACAAGGGCAUAGAAAGGUCUGGAAGAAGACAGUGAACUGACGGCAGCAGCUGCCUCCAGGGAGGGGGAAUGUGAAUGGAUAUGCAGUAUGGAAAACAUACAUACUUCCUAUAUUUCUGGAGUUUAUUUCUUUUUUCUUCUCUUGUUCUUUUUUGUUUGUACAAUGAGAAUUUAUUCAUGUGUUUCGUGUGUUAUUUUUUAAAAAGUGUGUUGUCCUUGCCUUUCUGGGGGUUAUUUUAGUGAAGGAUUUAUUUAGCUGCAGGGUUGGUGCCAAAAUGGGUGAUAAAGACUAGCCAGCCAGAAAAGGUGGGCAUUAUACUGCUGAGAAAGGAACUAGGAGCUUCAGUCAGGUCUUUGGGUCUGAGAGGUGACUUGCUGAAAUUAAUAUUAAAUUUAAAUUAAUAUUAAAUAUUAAAUUUAAGAAGAGUAACCCAAAGGCAGUAUGUGAGUAUAACUUGGAGAUCCCAGAAAGAAGGAAAUAGGUUGGAGGAUCUAGUGCUCCAAGAGGGGCUUCCUGGGUCGAGUAGAGAUGAAGGUUAUGAGCCAGGUUGUGGCCACUGGUCAGCUGGCUAAGUGCAAAGAUUUAUUCAGUCAAUAGUGUCAUAUUUGGAGGCCAUGGAUAAUAUCAAGCCCAGGCUUGAUUUUUGGAGAGAUAGUAGCCUGGUAGGGGAAUAACAUUAAUUAUAAAACCCUUACACAAUGCUCACUGGAUAUCAGACACUCUUUUUUUUUUCUUUUCUUUUUUUUUUUUUUUUUGAGAUGGAGUUUCACUCUUGUUGCCCAGGCUGGAGUGCAAUGGUGUGAUCUAGGCUCACCACAACCUCCACCUCUCGAGUUCAAGCGAUUCUCCUGCCUCAGCCUCCUGAGUAGCUGGGAUUACAGGCAUGAGCCACCAUGCGCUGCUAAUUUUUUAUCUUUAGUAGAGACAGGGUUUCUCCAUGUUGAUCAGGCUGGUCUCAAACUCCUAACAUCAGGUGAUCCACCCACCUCGGCCUCCCAAAGUGCUGGGAUUACAGGCGUGAGCCACUGUGCCCGGCCCCCAGACACUCUUUUAAGCACAUGGCAUUUAAUCCUUAUUAGAACGCUCUAAGGCAUGUAGUCUAUUAAUCCCCUUUAAGCGAUGAACAAACCUCCAAGAGGAGGUUUAAUCCCUUGUCCUAGGUCACAUGCUGAUAAGUGACAGAAACAUGAUUUGGAUCCAGGCUGUUUUAACUCCAGUGACUGUGCUCUUAACCAUUUGGCUGUCCUGCCAGACAUCAUAUGGAAAAUCUAAUACAGUGUGAUACGUGUAUUAUGGAGAUGGGAAAGGAGAGGAGGGUGAAGUUCAGCACUUCCUGGGCAAGUGUGAGGAAGACAUCAAGAAAAAGCAAGAGUAGGAAUGUGACAACCAAAGAAGAGGGUAAAGACUGCAGUCCAGAGAGAGGGCAGCGUAUACCCGAAGGUACAGAGCUCCUGAAACUUUCCUACCUUGGGGAGUCUUCUGUCCUCUCUCCUCUAGGAACCAUCCUUGGAUCCCUGCUGGCCUCCUUUCUGAACCCGCUGUUGAGGCAGAGUUGCAUAUACAGCAUUUCUCCUAGGACUGUUUGUUCUUAGAUCUCUAUCCCUUAGUGAGAAGUGAAGAAAGGCAGAGGGGAGAGAGUCCGGAAUAAUCUCCUUAUUCUCCAUCCCCACAUCCCUAAGUCUGAUCUGAGAUUCCCCCAAAGAGCCUCGUCCACGCCAGCCUAACCCAACAGACAGUGUGGAUCACUGAGAACCAGCAAAAUUGACAUAACCUUGAGGCCUCAAAUAAUACAUUCCUUUCCUUUGACAUCAGUUUUGUCAGAUUAAAAAUCCAAUAACAGACUGUCAUUGAGUCCAAGAAAAGAGAUGGUAAUAAAAGGGAGAAUCUGACUCCAUAAUGGAAAGCAGGUGAUUUUUAAAAUUGGUUCCUCCAGCUGUCUAUGCUACAGAAAUUCCAAGAAAAAGUAGAAAAGCUGCUCCUUCCCCUUCUGUCUUCUCCGACUUGGUUGUGGCCCCGUUACUGCCCUGUUUGUCUUGCUUCGACUCCAGGAGGUGUCCUUAUGUCUCCCUCCCUCCAGCUUAGCCAAAUUCUGUGCGUCCUGCACACCUAGCUCACCACGCCAUCCCUGCUGCCCCUGCCUUCACCAAGGGCCUACACAAGUCACCUAGGGACUCUGCCUUCCACCACCUCACCAGCCUCUCCCUCCUCCAGCCCCUGUUUCACUGUCUCCACAGCAUAAACAUAAAUAAUUCUGGCAAAUGAAUAGCUGAUCUACCGUGUAAUGAGUGCUAUAGCAUUGAGUAAUAAGAUGCAAACCAUUUACCUUAUUGGUGCAUUCAUCAAGUGUGAAAAUAUUUACUGUAUGCCCAGCCUUGGGCUAGGUCCAUUGUAAAUUCCUUCGAAUAAGAUGAAACUUAUUUCAGACUACUUCAGGGGGUCUCAUGGAAAACAGGGGUGGGCAGUGUCCACAGGCCUGAGACCCCUAGAAUCAGGAGCUGCAAACCUCCAGUAAACAGGCAACUUGUGCUCUCCAAUUAUUUGUCAUAGAGUUUAUUUAACCCUUCCCCUUUCUGCAAACUGGCUCUUACUGCUUUCCAGAGCCCAAGGUCAAAGGUAGCCAGCCUGCAGAUUUUGAGUUUAUCAUCCUGUGUUCCAGCUGCCUCUCCUGAGGGAUGAGGCACUGCCAGAUCUCAGAUUUAAGCCAAAUCUCAGAAGAGAGAAUCUGACUGGACAGCUUAGGUCACGUGACCAUUCCCAGUCCAUUAAGCUAAGGCCACACAGACAGGCUCACUGGGUGGAAACAUGGCUGCCACUCGUCUGCCCUUGUGGGUGGGUGGGAGGAAUUCUGACAAGAGCAGUUUGGGGCUGGCCAGAUACUCCAAAAGUUGUCUGUUAUGUGUGGUUGGUUGGUUGGUUUUUUAAGACUGGGUUUCACUCAGUUGCCCAGUCUGGAGUGCAGUGGCAUGAUAUGUAGCUUACUGUAACUCGAACUCCUGGACUUAAGUGAUUCUCCGGCCUCUGUCUCUUGAGUAGCUGGUACCAUGGGCACCCGCCACCACACUAGGCUGAUUUUUUAUUUUUUGUAGAGACAAGGUCUGGCUAUGUUGCCCACAUUAGUGUCGAACUCCUGGGCUCAAGUGAUCCUCCUGCUUCAGCCUCCCAAAAUGCUGGGAUUACAGGCAUAAGCCAUGGCACCCAGCCUAUUAUGUGUUUUAAGGAAAGACAUGACCUCUGGCUUCUCAGCACUUAAGCCCCGUUGGGGAAAUUAAAUGGUAAGUUGAGGUUAUUUCAAAUGAAUGCAAAAUCUUUGAUUUUGUGGGAAGAAUUUAGAGUUUAUGAUGGACGUAUUGAUCUUGACUUUAAGGGAUCAUACGCCUUUGAGUUUUAGAGAGAAUGCUUAUUUCAAAUAAGAAUAGAAGGAUCAUAGGUUCCUAAAAGGAAUGCAUGAGGGCAGGAGACGGUCUUCAAAGUGGAUUCCAUUUUGAGUGCUGAGAGGUGAGAUUAGGUGGAAAAGUGGGAACAUUCAUCAAAAGGAUUUGAACAACAAAGACCUAAGUUUAGACUUGGCCUUAACAACAGGGAAUUCGGAUGGCUAAAAUGGAAAAUGGGUGUGUUCAGGAGUCACCCAGACUUGGUGAUUGUUAUUUUUGAGACAGGAUCUUGUUGUGUUUUUCAGGCUGGAGUGCAGUGGCCCAAUCAGGGCUCACUGUUGGCUUGAUAUACUGAGCUCAAGCGAUCCUCCUGCUUCAGCCUCCCAAGUAGCUCGGACUAUAGCCAUGCACCACCCCACCUGGCUAAUUUACAGACUUGGGUUUGAGUCUGUCCCUUUCUGUAGUUUAUGGGAGUGGGCAAUUUUCUUAACUGCAGAAUCUCAGUAUCUUCAUCUGGAAAAUGGCAAUAAUCAUACUGGUGGGUAAUGGGCAUCUGUGGUUUUGUCUUUCCAGCAUCCAUAUCCAUUCCGACUCUUUAAAAAAAAAAAAAACAGAAAAACAGAGUCUUGCUCUUUUGCCUAAGCUGGAGUACCGUGGCAUGAUCUUGGCUCACCAUAACCACUGCCUUCCAGGUUCAAGUGAUUCUCAUGCCUCAGCCACCCAAGUAACUGGGACUACAGGCACAUGCCACCACACCCGGCUAAUUUUUGUAGUUUUGGUAGAGAUGGGGCUUCACCAUGUUGGCCAGGCUGGUCUUAACUCCUGGCCUCAAGUGAUCUGCCCACCUUGGCCUCCCAAAGUGCUGGGAUUACAGGCAUGAGCCACUGUGUCUGGCCCAUUCCCACUCUUGAUAAACAUUCCUUGGUGUCACUUUGGGGAACUACAUUGUGUGGUUUGGGUAGGAUUGACUUCACCUCACAGCUAGAAAACGGACACAUGACACUGGCCAGGGCCACCCAUGCAGCACCUUCCUCAGGACCCUUUCCCUUCAUCCAUUGGAAAUUGUUUUAUUUCAUAUACAGAUUUAUGAUAUAUAUGGUGUGAAUGGUGCCUCUUUACAUGUGGUGCUGUGUAUAUUACACAACCUGUCCAGCCAUACAAAGCUGCUCUGACCCUGGCUAACUAGAGCAGUCUACCCUUGGCCACAGAUCAGGGAAAGGGAAGUGACCCAGGCCAAUGGGAGAUAAUUGCUUGCUAGAAAAGUGGUGAUGGAUUUCCUAAGCUCAGUGUUCUUUGGUUGCAAUGUAAAUGUAACCGUGUGCAAAGUAUCCAUCUGAGCCAUGCUGUGUCACCGUGGAAGGACAUGGUGUCUCGGGAUCCUUGGGCUGUCACCUUGCCAGCUGGAAACCUUGUGUGCGACAGUGCCUCCUGCCUGAGUAUUGCUAAUGCCCUCUGGGCUCAUUCUACCCACUCGGCCUGGCAGGCUGUGCUCAGCUUGCGCUACCAGCCCAGAUCCCAUACCUGCCAAGGGCAAGCUGGACACGGAGCAGUGAUGGGUGUGUGGGUGAGCGAGUGUGGGUUCAAGCUACUACGCACAGCUAGGCAUGCCGGCUGCUGUGAUGGGGCGGGCACUUCCAGGCACCAGCACAGGUGCCAGCUCUGUGGAAGGCUGCUGCUGGACCAGAUGUACCACAUACGGCUUCGGCUGCGGGCACCUGCAUCUGGAUGAGGGGAACUUGGUGCCCAAUAGCUUGGAGAUGCCAGGAACCACAGAGCCCCCAAAGAAGGUGUCAAAGCCCUGGCGUGGGGACGCCCUAAAUCUGGAUUCCCCGAAGGGCUACUGGUCUUUUCUCCUUCUCGUCGCCCACAAUGUGGCAAGCAGGGGGUCAUGUUUCAGCCCUGUUUUUGUUACGGCACUUUGAGUCCUGCCAUUUGGCAGGUCCUGAGUUCUUGUCCCAUGUCUGGGGAGAAUGAGGUACCAGACAACUGGAGGGUGAGGAAGGUGGAGAGGAGCUUCACUGAGCAACAGAACAGCUCUCAGGAGACCUGCAGUGAGUAGCUCCUUUCCGCAGCUGGUAGUCCUGAUGUCUGUGUGAGUCUGGCUUUUUAUGGGCUCAAAUGGGAGGAAGUGCAUGCUGAUUGGUCCAUGGGCUGCCAUGGGCAGCCCGGAAAAACCACAAGUUCUCACUCUGGGCCUUGGACUCCACCUGGAAGUGGCAGCCCAGCCCCCAGGCUUCAGGCUGUCCUGGCUUGAAGGUGGGGUUUCACCAGG
This 6667-nucleotide long non-coding RNA is filed under the name Homo sapiens (human). RNAcentral describes it as "non-protein coding lnc-SELENOT-45:1". The record is from RNAcentral. Lineage: Eukaryota; Metazoa; Chordata; Mammalia; Primates; Hominidae.